AUCGAUGAAGAACGCAGUGAAAUGUGAUAAGUAAUGUGAAUUGCAGAAUCUCGUGAAUCAUUGAAUCUUUGAACGCACAUUGCGCCUAAUGGUAUUCCAUUGGGCAUACCUGUUUGAGUGUCAGAAUCCUCACAAUUAUCAAACUGUUAAAUAUGUACUAUUUAUUUUUUUAUCAAUAGACAUAUAUAUAAUGAUGUUUGGACUAUUAUUGAGAAAAGUAGUAUUUAUUAAAAUAUUACUUUCUUAAAAGUCAGGAUGAUUUUUGUUUUGAUUUUUGAUCAACUCAUUUUGUAUGCAAUAUAACAAGUGAGUAUGAAUAAAAGCAACAAUACUUUAUUUUGGAUGACCUCAAAUCAGGUAGGGAUACCCGCUGAACUUAAGCAUAUCAAUAAGCGGAGGAAAAGAAACCAACAGGGAUUGCCUCAGUAACGGCGAGUGAAGCGGCAAAAGCUCAGAUUUGAAAUCUGGUGUAGUAAUCGACACCCGAGUUGUAAUCUGUAGAGGAGUUUUCGGAGAAUGACUUUGGUUAAAGUUCCUUGGAAAAGGGCAUCAUAGAGGGUGAGAAUCCUGUUUAUGACCUUUGUACUUCUCUAUUAUGAAUCUCCUUCAAUGAGUCGAGUUGUUUGGGAAUGCAGCUCUAAAUGGGUGGUAAAUUCCAUCUAAAGCUAAAUAUUGGCAAGAGACCGAUAGCGCACAAGUAGAGUGAUCGAAAGAUGAAAAGAACUCUGAACAGAGAGUUAAAGAGUACGUGAAAUUGUUGAAAGGGAAGCACUUGUGACCAGACAAAUUUGCAAUUAAUCAGCCAUCAGUUUUGGUGGUGCACUUGAUUGUAGAUGGGUCAGCAUCAGUUAUAGCAGUGGGACAAAGGUCGAAAGAAUGUAGCUCCUCAUUGAGGAGUGUUAUAGCUUUUGGUUUAAUACCGCUUGCCAUGACUGAGGAUAGCACUUCAUAGUAAGGAUGCUGACAUAAUGGUCCUAAGUGACCCGUCUUGAAACACGG
RNAcentral lists this ribosomal RNA (999 nucleotides) under uncultured Ascomycota. RNAcentral's name for it is "eukaryotic LSU rRNA". The stretch from base 344 to 999 matches the Rfam family "Eukaryotic large subunit ribosomal RNA", at positions 1 to 664 of the family's 3401-position model. The record is from RNAcentral. Lineage: Eukaryota; Fungi; Ascomycota.